This 468-nucleotide ribosomal RNA is filed under the name uncultured bacterium. Its description in RNAcentral is "partial 16S ribosomal RNA". It matches the Rfam family "Bacterial small subunit ribosomal RNA", at positions 28 to 507 of the family's 1533-position model. The record is from RNAcentral.
GACGAACGCUGGCGGCGUGCUUAACACAUGCAAGUCGAACGGAAAGGCCCUGCUUUUGUGGGGUGCUCGAGUGGCGAACGGGUGAGUAACACGUGAGUAACCUGCCCUUGACUUUGGGAUAACUUCAGGAAACUGGGGCUAAUACCGGAUAGGAGCUCCUGCUGCAUGGUGGGGGUUGGAAAGUUUCGGCGGUCGGGGAUGGACUCGCGGCUUAUCAGCUUGUUGGUGGGGUAGUGGCUUACCAAGGGUUUGACGGGUAGGCGGCCUGGGAGGGUGACCGGGCUCAAUGGGACUACGGGAGGGCCCAGUGUCCUACGGGGGGCAGCAGUGGGGAAUAUUGCACAAUGGGCGGAAGCCUGAUGCAGCAACGCCGCGUGCGGGAUGACGGCCUUCGGGUUGUAAACCGCUUUCGCCUGUGACGAAGCGUGAGUGACGGUAAUGGGUAAAGAAGCACCGGCUAACUACGUG